GUGAUAGAGCUGCAUUUGCACCUGCACCUACAGAGAGGAAGAUGAAGCAGCAAGCUAGCAAUACGUGCUUGAUCGCUAUACGCUAGCUUCUUGCACACAAUGUUGUUCCUGGUCUCUUCCUGAUCCCUAGGUGCAGAGGCAGAUGCAACUAUGUCAU
This 157-nucleotide non-coding RNA is filed under the name Oryza sativa (Asian cultivated rice). Its record names the gene osa-MIR530. Lineage: Eukaryota; Viridiplantae; Streptophyta; Magnoliopsida; Poales; Poaceae. The record is from miRBase by way of RNAcentral. RNAcentral also lists the same sequence under 1 other name.